Molecule: ribosomal RNA, 482 nt
Filed under: uncultured bacterium
Lineage: Bacteria
Description: partial 16S ribosomal RNA
Rfam family: Bacterial small subunit ribosomal RNA
Source: RNAcentral
AUUGAACGCUGGCGGCAUGCCUUACACAUGCAAGUCGAACGGUAACGGGCCUUCGGGUGCCGACGAGUGGCGAACGGGUGAGUAAUACAUCGGAACGUGCCCGAUCGUGGGGGAUAACGAGGCGAAAGCUUUGCUAAUAACGCAUACGAUCUACGGAUGAAAGCAGGGGACCGCAAGGCCUUGCGCGGACGGAGCGGCCGGUGGCAGAUUAGGUAGCCGGUGGGAUACAAGCUUACCAAGCCGACGAUCCGUAGCUGGCCUGAGAGGAGGGUCAGCCACACUGGGACGGAGACACGGCCCAGACUCCGACGGGAGGCAGCAGUGGGGAAUGUUGGACAAUGGGCGGAAGCCUGAUCCGGCCAUGCCGCGUGGAGGAUGAAGGCCUUCGGGUUGGAAACGGCUUUUGUACGGAACGAAAAGCCUUCUGGGAAUACAGGGGGGUCAUGACGGUACCGUAAGAAUAAGCACCGGCUAACUACGUG